CAGUAGCCACGGGAAUACGAAGGGGGCUAGCGUUGCUCGGAAUGACUGGGCGUAAAGGGCGCGUAGGCGGAUUGAUCAGUCAGACGUGAAAUUCCUGGGCUCAACCUGGGGGCUGCGUUUGAGACGGUUGAUCUAGAGUUUGGAAGAGGGUCGUGGAAUUCCCAGUGUAGAGGUGAAAUUCGUAGAUAUUGGGAAGAACACCGGUGGCGAAGGCGGCGACCUGGUCCUUGACUGACGCUGAGGCGCGAAAGCGUGGGGAGCAAACAGGAUUAGAUACCCCCGUAGUCCCUGUCUCUUAUAC
This 301-nucleotide ribosomal RNA is filed under the name uncultured bacterium. RNAcentral's name for it is "partial 16S ribosomal RNA". It matches the Rfam family "Bacterial small subunit ribosomal RNA", at positions 509 to 807 of the family's 1533-position model. The record is from RNAcentral.